UACGGAGGAUGCGAGCGUUAUCCGGAUUUAUUGGGUUUAAAGGGUGCGUAGGCGGAUCGUUAAGUCAGUGGUCAAAUUGAGGGGCUCAACCCCUUCCCGCCAUUGAAACUGGCGAUCUUGAGUGGAAGAGAAGUAUGCGGAAUGCGUGGCGUAGCGGUGAAAUGCAUAGAUAUCACGCAGAACCCCGAUUGCGAAGGCAGCAUGCCGGCUUCCGACUGACGCUGAAGCACGAAAGCGUGGGGAUCGAACAGG
This 252-nucleotide ribosomal RNA is filed under the name uncultured bacterium. RNAcentral's name for it is "partial 16S ribosomal RNA". It matches the Rfam family "Bacterial small subunit ribosomal RNA", at positions 524 to 776 of the family's 1533-position model. The record is from RNAcentral.